Molecule: long non-coding RNA, 387 nt
Filed under: Homo sapiens (human)
Lineage: Eukaryota; Metazoa; Chordata; Mammalia; Primates; Hominidae
Description: HSALNT0289919
Source: RNAcentral
GGCUUUUUGGUCUUUCCUGCUGCCUUGUGAAGAAGGUGCUUGUUUCUUCUUUGCCUUCUGCCAUGAUUGCCAUGUGAAUCGCACCCCUGGAACUGUGCAGGGCCCACCUGUGUGGCCACACGCAGUGACCCUGAGCAAAGGAGUGACCACAGAAGUGCAUGGCAAAGCAGAAAGGUGUGACGUCUUGGAGGACGCGGGAGGAAAGCACGCCCAGCGGACAGGAGCCAUCACGCGGCUGCGGGCUGCUGCUGAGAACCUGGCGUGGGCCACCGUCGUCAGCAGCGUGGAGGUAACUGACGACCUUGGCCAAGAAGUUGGGUGGCAGCGUGGAGGUCAUGCUCAGAGGAGGCAUUUGCCCAGGAAGGCUGUGCCUGUGGCAGAGACUCA